CAGAUAACUGUGACCCUUUUCACUUUGGACCAAGAGGGAACACAUGUGAAGUCAACGAAAGAAAAGAAUGCGGCAGAGUCAAAAACCAAGAGCCUAAAGGACAAAUCCAAGAAUCACAGAGAAUACUGCCCAGGAUGUCUAUAUUAUUUUAUUUAGAGAAUUUUUCAAAAGGCAAUGUAAGGCCCAAAUUAGCGUGCCUAUAGACUUCCUGACUUGAAACAGAACACUCCUUUUUGUGUAUGUAAUUUACCAGAGAC
Molecule: long non-coding RNA, 257 nt
Filed under: Mustela putorius furo (domestic ferret)
Lineage: Eukaryota; Metazoa; Chordata; Mammalia; Carnivora; Mustelidae
Description: lncRNA (ENSMPUG00000027865.1)
Source: RNAcentral